RNAcentral lists this ribosomal RNA (397 nucleotides) under uncultured bacterium. RNAcentral describes it as "partial 16S ribosomal RNA". It matches the Rfam family "Bacterial small subunit ribosomal RNA", at positions 523 to 918 of the family's 1533-position model. The record is from RNAcentral.
AUACGUAGGUGACAAGCGUUAUCCGGAUUUACUGGGCGUAAAGGGCGUGUAGGCGGUCUUACAAGUCAGAUGUGAAAUUCCCGGGCUCAACUUGGGCGCUGCAUCUGAAACUGCAAGACUUGAGUGCUGGAGGGGAUAGCGGAAUUCCUAGUGGAGCGGUAAAAUGCGCAGAGAUUAGGAAGAACACCGGUGGCGAAGGCGGCUAUCUGGACAGUAACUGACGCUGAGGCGCGAAAGCGUGGGUAGCAAACCGGAUUAGAUACCCUGUUAGUCCACGCUGUAAACGAUGAAUACUAGGUGUAGGGGGUAUCGACUCCCUCUGUGCCGCAGUUAACACAAUAAGUAUUCCGCCUGGGGAGUACGGCCGCAAGGUUGAAACUCAAAUGAAUUGACGGGG